GGAUAUGAGAGUCAUCUGGCUGCAACAUCUGUGACCCUUGAUUUCCAAGGUUGAUUUGGCUGACCUGGAUGGCUAGGCUGGUGUCCCCUUCCUCCCUCGCCACUCCAUAUGUCUCCCUCCCCACUCCAUAUGUCUCGCUCCCAAAGACAUAUGCUCAGUUGAAGAGGAUGAACACCCCUGAUAAAGGAGGACCAUUUUCUUGGUCAAGGAUAUACAAGUAGUUGCACUUCCCUGCUAAAACCACCAAAUAAGCUCUCAAGAACCUGGAACUGAAAGUGAUGCCAAGAUCUAAAGUCACAAGCACCAUGCAGUACCAUAGGAUGUAAAACAUGAAUAUU
This 338-nucleotide small nuclear RNA is filed under the name Chinchilla lanigera (long-tailed chinchilla). RNAcentral's name for it is "7SK RNA (ENSCLAG00000021845.1)". It matches the Rfam family "7SK RNA". From Rfam's summary of the family: 7SK was discovered as an abundant small nuclear RNA in the mid-70s but a possible function has only recently been suggested. The record is from RNAcentral. Lineage: Eukaryota; Metazoa; Chordata; Mammalia; Rodentia; Chinchillidae.